GAAGUAAAAAGUGGUAACAAAGGUUUCCUUAGGUGAACCUGCGGAAGGAUCAUUA
This 55-nucleotide ribosomal RNA is filed under the name Phytophthora megasperma. RNAcentral describes it as "partial 18S ribosomal RNA". The record is from RNAcentral. Lineage: Eukaryota; Oomycota; Peronosporomycetes; Peronosporales; Peronosporaceae.